RNAcentral lists this ribosomal RNA (497 nucleotides) under uncultured bacterium. RNAcentral describes it as "partial 16S ribosomal RNA". It matches the Rfam family "Bacterial small subunit ribosomal RNA", at positions 28 to 507 of the family's 1533-position model. The record is from RNAcentral.
GAUGAACGCUGGCGGUGUGCCUAAUACAUGCAAGUCGAGCGAACGGACGAGAAGCUUGCUUUUCUGAUGUUAGCGGCGGACGGGUGAGUAACACGUGGAUAACCUACCUAUAAGACUGGGAUAACUUCGGGAAACCGGAGCUAAUACCGGAUAAUAUUUUGAACCGCAUGGUUCAAAAGUGAAAGACGGCCUUGCUGUCACUUAUAGAUGAAUCCGCGCUGCAUUAGCUAGUUGGUAAGGUAACGGCUUACCAAGGCAACGAUGCAUAGCCGACCUGAGAGGGUGAUCGGCCACACUGGAACUGAGACACGGUCCAGACUCCUACGGGAGGCAGCAGUAGGGAAUCUUCCGCAAUGGGCGAAAGCCUGACGGAGCAACGCCGCGUGAGUGAUGAAGGUCUUCGGAUCGUAAAACUCUGUUAUUAGGGAAGAACAUAUGUGUAAGUAACUGUGCACAUCUUGACGGUACCUGAUCAGAAAGCCACGGCUAACUACGUG